GACGAACCGUGCGAACGUUAUUCGGAAUCACUGGGCUUAAAGCGCGUGUAGGCGGGUCGGUGCAUCGGUUGCUGAAAGCCCCCGGCUCAACCGGGGCAGGGGCGCCGCGAUGACCGGCCUGGAGGGGCGUAGGGGGAUCGGGAACUUCCGGUGGAGCGGUGAAAUGCGUUGAGAUCGGAAGGAACGCCCGCGGCGAAAGCGCGGUCCUGGACGCCUACUGACGCUGAGACGCGAAAGCCAGGGGAGCGAACGGG
This 254-nucleotide ribosomal RNA is filed under the name uncultured bacterium. RNAcentral's name for it is "partial 16S ribosomal RNA". It matches the Rfam family "Bacterial small subunit ribosomal RNA", at positions 524 to 776 of the family's 1533-position model. The record is from RNAcentral.